Transfer RNA from Felis catus (domestic cat), 85 nucleotides. It matches the Rfam family "tRNA". From Rfam's summary of the family: Transfer RNA (tRNA) molecules are approximately 80 nucleotides in length. Their secondary structure includes four short double-helical elements and three loops (D, anti-codon, and T loops). Lineage: Eukaryota; Metazoa; Chordata; Mammalia; Carnivora; Felidae. The record is from Rfam.
GCCUGGGUGGCUCAGUGGGUUAAGCAUCUGACUUAAGCUCAGGUCACGAUCCCACGGUUUGUGAGUUCAAGCCCCACCUGGGGCU